CUGCCUGCAAAACCUCCCCCUCAGUCUCCAUCUACAGAGUUAAACCUGCCAUCAAAACCUCCAUUCCCAUCUGCAGAUUUUAAACCUACCUGUAAAACUUCCCCCUCAGUCUCCAUCUGCAGAGUUAAACCUGCCAUCAAAACCUCCAUCUCCAUCUGCAGAUCUAAAACCUGCCUGUAAAACUUCCCCCUCAGUCUCCAUCUGCAGAGUUAAAACUGCCAUCAAAACCUCCAUCUCCAUCUGCAGAUCUAAAACCUGCCUGUAAAACUUCCCUCUCAGUCUCCAUCUGCAGAGUUAAUACUGCCAUCAAAACCUCCAUCCCCAUCUGCAGAUCUAAAACCUACCUGUAAAACUUCCCCCUCAGUCUCCAUCUGCAGAGUUAAAACUGCCAUCAAAACCUCCAUCCCCAUCUGCAGAUCUAAAGCCUGCGUGUAAAACUUCCCCCUCAGUCUCCAUCUCCAGAGUUAAAACUGCCAUCAAAACCUCCAUCCCCAUCUGCAGAUCUAAAGCCUGCCUGUAAAACUUCCCCCCUAGUCUCCAUCUGCAGAGUUAAACCUGCCAUCAAAACCUCCAUCUCCAUCUGCAGAUCUACUGUAAAGCAUGCGUGUAAAACUUCCCCCUCAGUCUCCAUCUGCACAGUUUAAACUGCCAUCAAAACCUCCAUCUUCAUCUGCAGAUCUAAAGCCUGCCUGUAAAACUUCCCCCUCAGUCUCCAUCUGCAGAGUUAAACCUGCCAUCAAAACCUCCAUUCCCAUCUGCAGAUCUAAAACCUGCCUUUAAAACUUCCCCCUCAUUCUCCAUGGGCAGAGUUUAAACUGCCAUCAAAACCUCCAUCUCCAUCUGCAGAAUUAAAACCUCCCUGUAAAACUUCCCCCUCAGUCUCCAUCUGCAGAGUUAAAACUGCCAUCAAAACCUCCAUCCCCAUCUGCAGAUUUAAAACCUGCCUGUAAAACCUCCUCCUCAGUCUCCAUCUGCAGCUUUUAAAACUCCUGGCAAAACCUCCUCCUCAGUCUCCAUCUGCAGUGGAUAAACCUGCGUAAAGCAAGGCCAACAGCCUCCGCCAUUCCUUCCGUCCUGCUCUGCUCUGUUAUGAGCUUCGUAGAGCUCGAGGAGAGUAUCUGCGAGAGAAUUGAGAUCAAGUGUUAUUAAAAAGGGACGUAAAGGACCUGCAAACCAAACUAAAAGUCAUUCAUCCUUUGAAUGGUGUUUGGAAAGUGCCCUGUUGCUCAUCAAUCAACUAGCUGUUUCCACCAUCAAAAAGGGUUGGGGAACGAGUGGCUGAGAUCUCAGGAGAGCUGUGCUUAAGUAAAAUGGCGGCAUAUACGUAGUUCAUAUCAAAUCCACUCAGGUAAGUACAAGCCAAUAAUUGAAAAUUAAACAAAGUAAGGUUUAAACAUUAACAAUUGUCUUGUAUUUUACGAGGAAACAAACUGGACAAGGAGACCUUGACGAACCUGUAGAGCUAGCUGGACAGGAGCUACAGCGACGUCCAGAAAUCCAUCAACCAAAAGGUAACCAGCCUGGAUGCCUAUCUCGCCUUGUUAGAAGUCCUACAUAAAGAGGUUCAAGCCCUGAGAGAGUCGGAGGAAUACAGCCAAGGGCAUCUAGUCUCUAUUACCGCCACGAACAAAGCGCUGAGGGGGGAAGUCAUGAAGCUCACCGAGGGGAUGAUCCAGCUGCAUUCCGGAGCAGCAGGAGGAGGAUCCUGAGGUGACAAUCCCAGAGUUCCUCCAGAAGAAGCUGGAAAUCCUGGCGGAUCAGAUAUGAAAUCAUUCCCCCAUAUCCAUAG
Long non-coding RNA from Cyprinodon tularosa, 1789 nucleotides. RefSeq lists it as uncharacterized. NCBI's taxonomy places the organism in Eukaryota, Metazoa, Chordata, Actinopteri, Cyprinodontiformes, Cyprinodontidae. The record is from RefSeq and is a predicted model, not a curated record. The transcript is spliced from 5 exons.